Molecule: unclassified non-coding RNA, 330 nt
Filed under: plant metagenome
Description: partial contains 5.8S ribosomal RNA, internal transcribed spacer 2, and large subunit ribosomal RNA
Rfam family: 5.8S ribosomal RNA (bases 1-107)
Source: RNAcentral
GAAAUGCGAUAAGUAAUGUGAAUUGCAGAAUUCCGUGAAUCAUCGAAUCUUUGAACGCACAUUGCGCCCUCUGGUAUUCCGGGGGGGGCAUGCCUGUCCGAGCGUCAUUGCGAACCCCUCAAGCACGGCUUGUGUGAUGGGCCCUCCCGCGUCUUGGUCGUCAAGACGGGCCCGAAAUGCAGUGGCGGCUUCGCGGUUAUCCGAUCAGCCAGAGCGUAUGGGGACUCUCUCUCUGUCACACGCCCGCGGCGCGGACCGACGCCUGUCGACCUUUAUUCAUCUUUUCUCGGUUGACCUCGGAUCAGGUAGGGAUACCCGCUGAACUUAAGC